RNAcentral lists this unclassified non-coding RNA (361 nucleotides) under uncultured Chytridiomycota. Its description in RNAcentral is "sequence contains ITS1". The stretch from base 1 to 105 matches the Rfam family "5.8S ribosomal RNA", at positions 50 to 154 of the family's 154-position model. The record is from RNAcentral. Lineage: Eukaryota; Fungi; Chytridiomycota.
GAAAUGCGAUAAGUAAUGUGAAUUGCAAAAUUCCGUGAAUCAUUAAAUCUUUGAACGCACCUUGCGCUCUUUGGCAAUCCAGAGAGCAUGUCUGUUUGAGAAUCAGUUUAAAUCUCACUUCCCUAGUUGGAAACAGCUAGGAAAGUGGUUGUGGGCUUUUCACUUACCCUGAAAUUCCUUAAAUUCAAGUUGCCUGGUGUACCGUUGAAACGUAACCGGAAAGCAUGACCAAAGGACGCUUGUUCUUGAUUGCUGAUAAAGGCCGUGUAGAUGAUGCUUCUUGCAAGAAAAUUUAAACACGAAAGUAGCAAUACUUUUAAGACUUGAUCUCAAAUCAGAUAAGACUACCCGCUGAACUUAA